Molecule: long non-coding RNA, 218 nt
Filed under: Brassica napus (rape)
Lineage: Eukaryota; Viridiplantae; Streptophyta; Magnoliopsida; Brassicales; Brassicaceae
Description: long non-coding RNA (BNAP_LNC022087)
Source: RNAcentral
CUUUAUCUUUCGAGGAACUAGCAUCUGCGGGCACAUCUUGACCUUUAUCCUCCGGCAAGCUCUUCCUUCCCGCGUUCGUCCCAUUAACACUUUCACUCUGUAAUAUACAAGAUGGGUUUAUACAAUAAUAACCAAAGAUCCAUUUCAAUCAAUAAUAACCAAUGACUUUGUCCAAAAAUCCAUUUCAUACACUAUAAACAAAGCACACAUGUUCUGAC